UGUGAUUCUGUUAGCCUCUGUUGGCAG
Molecule: unclassified non-coding RNA, 27 nt
Filed under: Mus musculus (house mouse)
Lineage: Eukaryota; Metazoa; Chordata; Mammalia; Rodentia; Muridae
Description: oocyte_clustered_small_RNA7792
Source: RNAcentral